RNAcentral lists this ribosomal RNA (744 nucleotides) under uncultured bacterium. RNAcentral describes it as "bacterial SSU rRNA". It matches the Rfam family "Bacterial small subunit ribosomal RNA", at positions 8 to 788 of the family's 1533-position model. The record is from RNAcentral.
AGAGUUUGAUCAUGGCUCAGAACGAACGCUGGCGGCAUGCCUAACACAUGCAAGUCGAACGAGAAGCCAUCUUCGGGUGGUGGACAGUGGCGCACGGGUGAGUAACGCGUGGGAACCUGCCCCGAGGUUCGGAAUAACGGCUGGAAACGGCCGCUAAUACCGGAUGUGACCUGAGGGUGAAAGAUUUAUCGCCUUGGGAGGGGCCCGCGUCCGAUUAGCUUGUUGGUGUGGUAACGGCGCACCAAGGCAUCGAUCGGUAGCUGGUCUGAGAGGAUGAUCAGCCACACUGGGACUGAGACACGGCCCAGACUCCUACGGGAGGCAGCAGUGGGGAAUAUUGGACAAUGGGGGCAACCCUGAUCCAGCAAUGCCGCGUGUGUGAAGAAGGCCUUAGGGUUGUAAAGCACUUUCAGUCGUGACGAUGAUGACGGUAGCGACAGAAGAAGCCCCGGCUAACUCCGUGCCAGCAGCCGCGGUAAUACGGAGGGGGCAAGCGUUGUUCGGAAUUACUGGGCGUAAAGGGCGUGUAGGCGGCCAAGUCAGUCAGGCGUGAAAGCCCGGGGCUCAACCCCGGAAUAGCGCUUGAUACUGCGGGGCUAGAGACCGGAAGAGGGUAGUGGAAUUCCCAGUGUAGAGGUGAAAUUCGUAGAUAUUGGGAAGAACACCAGUGGCGAAGGCGGCUACCUGGUCCGGAUCUGACGCUGAGGCGCGAAAGCGUGGGGAGCAAACAGGAUUAGAUACCCU